This 449-nucleotide ribosomal RNA is filed under the name uncultured bacterium. RNAcentral's name for it is "partial 16S ribosomal RNA". It matches the Rfam family "Bacterial small subunit ribosomal RNA", at positions 29 to 523 of the family's 1533-position model. The record is from RNAcentral.
AGCGAACGCUGGCGGCAGGCCUAACACAUGCAAGUCGAACGAAGCCUUUGGGCUUAGUGGCGGACGGGUGAGUAACACGUGGGAACGUACCUUUUGGUUCGGAAUAACGCAGAGAAAUUUGCGCUAAUACCGAAUGAGCCCUUCGGGGGAAAGAUUUAUCGCCGAAAGAUCGGCCCGCGUUGGAUUAGGUAGUUGGUGUGGUAAAGGCGCACCAAGCCUACGAUCCAUAGCUGGUCUGAGAGGAUGAUCAGCCACACUGGGACUGAGACACGGCCCAGACUCCUACGGGAGGCAGCAGUGGGGAAUCUUGCGCAAUGGGCGAAAGCCUGACGCAGCCAUACCGCGUGAAUGAUGAAGGUCUUAGGAUUGUAAAAUUCUUUUACCAGGGACGAUAAUGACGGUACCUGGAGAAAAAGCCCCGGCUAACUUCGUGCCAGCCGCCGCAGUAA